Molecule: long non-coding RNA, 234 nt
Filed under: Locusta migratoria (migratory locust)
Lineage: Eukaryota; Metazoa; Arthropoda; Insecta; Orthoptera; Acrididae
Description: partial Lnc72905
Source: RNAcentral
UGGAGGGCUGCCUGUCGCAGCUCAACCUCGAGGUGCUGCACCUCAAUAACGCGCUGGCCAAGCUCAAGGCCAACUUCGCCUAAGGAGCGCUUCUCGUCCACUCGUUCCCCCGCGCUCUCCCAAGUACUUAGCGUCCGCAUCGUCCCCAUCGUCGUACCCAUUGUAUAGUUCCCGCUCGUAGCCCGCUGCAGAUCCAGCCCACGCUAGCGGUGCAGGAGAGACGGCUGCUACCGG